Molecule: long non-coding RNA, 3918 nt
Filed under: Sus scrofa (pig)
Lineage: Eukaryota; Metazoa; Chordata; Mammalia; Artiodactyla; Suidae
Description: lncRNA (ENSSSCG00000054451.1)
Source: RNAcentral
UCCUCAACUUGACCUCCCUGCCCCCGCCCCCGCUUCAAGUUGUGGGCUAGGCCUACAGGGCACAGGGGUGUUCACACAGGAGGUGACACCCCUUUUCUCCUGAGCUGUAAGACCAUGUGCCUUUGAAGCUCCCUUUACCCCGGGGGCUCCUGUGCCCCCGGGUCUGGGCUGACACAGACAUGAGAAGCGCCACACCAGGCACACACAGACCUAAAGUCACUGCAGAACCACCCAAACAGGCCAGGGCACAUACAAGGCCCUUUUGGAAUCUGAGCAAGGUGAGUGGGAGAGGGAUGGGUGAGGGCUUGCCUGAGGUCUAACCCCAUGUGGGGGGGAGAGGGGGCGGGACUACUUCACUGGACUCUGACAGAAGGGCCAGCCCCUUCUGUUUCAGCCCCCAAGUCACCUGGUCAGGCCCAGGCCAGACAUCUGCUUGCUCCGAGCGUGUCCCAACCAGUGUUUCCACUUGGAAAUCCUUGGGCUUUAUCUCCUCCCCUACAAAAGGUUCCCCAAGAGAGAAAGGGGAAAGGAAGGAGAGGCCAAGUGCUCAGACCUGCAGUGGGGACAGUGGCUGUCCUCCAGGUAUGUAUGUGCAGGACAGCCUCGCCAUCAGCCUGGAAGAGUCUGGUGCCUGCUGUAGACUGGAGCAGAGGAACCAAAGUCAGACCACCCUGGAGAGGAGUGUGGCUUGGGGAGCCCUUCUCCAUCCUGCCCCAGUGCUAGGAGGUUGGAUUCAUACCAUCCUAGAAAACUGGCACAGUGAGUUCCUGGCUACUCUUCUUACUCCAGCCAGAACGCAGCCUCAUCGGCAUCCAUCAGUUACCAUAACCUUGAGGAACAGACUGGAAAUUUCCCCAGAAUAACACCAUAGAGAAAACAAAGUCAAAGUCGCAUUCAUUCUUGCUUUUCUCCACAGAAACUUAAUUAUAUAUCCCUGUCACUUUUUCUUCAUGAUUUUUCAUUUUUGUGCUUUUAGAAAGGCACUCCCCCUUGAAUUUUUAUGAAUAAUUUCCUUUAGUUUCUUUUUCUCACUUUUUUUUUCUUUAGCCACACCCACAGCAUGGAAAAGUUCCUUGGCUAGGAAUCAAACCUGUGCCACAGCAGCAACGGGAGCCACAGCAGUGAAAUGCUGGAUCCUGAACCUGCUUCACCACCAGGAAAUGCCAUCCUUUUCUCACCUUACAUUUACACUGCCUCUGGGCACACAGAAAACUAUACUUCCUUGUCCCAAAGCACCCUCAGCCCCUUGCCAUUAGGUAAGGCUACUGUGACUAGUUUUGGCCAAUCAGUUGUGCACAGCAGUGAUUUAUGUUACUUCUAGACUGCAGUAAGAAGAGUGAGAGAUCACGCCACAACACUCUCCCAUUGCCACAGUGACUAGCAAUGUUCCAGGUUGUGGAACCCUUUGGGGUCCUAGACAAACUAUAGGAAGCAGAGGCCUCUCACCCCUGACCUUCACCAACAUGUGUUGGGCAUUUACUGUGUGCUAGAAAUAAACCUUUACAGUGGUAAACCACUGAAGUUUGAGAGUUGUUACCCCAGCAAAAGCUUAGCCUAACCUGACACACACAGUGAUGGCUCUCAAAGGUUUAGUGUGCAAUAGUCACCUGUGAAACGUUAAAGUACGCAUUGUGUGACAAAGAUACAUUGGGGGACAGACUUAUGGAUAAGUGAUGAUAGGAGAGAAGUACUCAAUUAUCUUAGCUGAUUUGAUAAAUCCUUUUGAAUUUUAUACUUUAAGAAAAAUUUAACCUUAUAACUGUUACCCAGGUAAUAUUCUAGUUGGAAAAACAGAGGGCACAAACGAAAAGGAAAAAUAAAAAUCCAGAACUGUGCCACACAUAUUGUUCACCGUCUAGUGUGUUAUGUCAGGAAUUGUGAAAAAAAAGACACACAUACGUUAUCAUGUCAGGAAUUAUGGAAAAAAGACACACACGGCAGGGAAGAGUGUGGGGAACGCAGCAGUCCUGGAAAGCAUUGGCUUCCAUGUCCGCGCGCCCUGCAGGAAUCCGGAGUACUUACCUCUCUUUCUCCAUCUUUCCCUCGACACGCCCACAUCCUCCGCAAUAGGAAGCUGGCACCCACACUGGGUUCCCGCCCACCUCCCCAGCAUUCCCCAUUGCCCACCAUUUUCUGAAGCAAAAUGGAUAGAGGGCGUGGCGGUGGGGGGAGGUGAAAACUGUAGUCCCGGAUCUCUCCCGGGGUCCACUUUCCUCACGCCCCCACCUUUCCCUUUCCAGUGCUUUGCAGGUGGCUCCCACCUGCACAUCCAUUUGCAGGGAACCCGGGCGUUUCCCUCCUGCUGCUCUUUUCCUGGCCAGAGGCCAGCCUGCUUUCAAGGCAGUAGGGAGCGGGUACCCAAACCUGACCACCGCCCCCUUCCUAGACCCCUCCCCCAAGCCCACCAUUUUUUUUCCCCCAAAAUGGACCGGUGCCGGGGCAGGCAAUAAUACAGUUCUGGCCCCGCAUUGGUGUUCGCCCUGGCCUUUGGAUAGCUUCUGCUCUUGCAGACCUGCUCAGAUCCCGGGCAGGUGGUAGUUUUCUCCUCUGGUCUAGUGUCCACAAGCGCGCCCGCCUGCCUCCAAGGUAAGAAGGAGAUGGUGCUCAGGCGGGAAAGAGGACUCUGACUAUACAGUGACUGAGGCUCACUUCAGCCCUUUGUCCAGCGAGGCCCAUGUUAACAGUGAGUUCAGGUCCCCAAUUAACUCUCCCUACAGCAUCGCAGCUGGAGCCGGGUUGUCCCUCACUGCCCCGCCCCCACUCGGCCCUUAGUCUAUUCAGUCUUUGCCAGAAACUUGAAAAGUGUAUCAUCUCCUUAGAAUGUCUAUAUCCCUUUCUCAGAUUAUUAGAAAGGAUCAGCCCCUGGGGGUUCGUCGACCGGGUCUCCUUUUCUACCCCCACCGCCCCCCCGCCGCUCCCUAGAGUCUCCACCUCCCCUCUCCCCAAACCCGAAGGUCUGCGGUUUCCCUUGCAGUCGUGUCCAGGCAUAGAAAGUAAGUCCAGGAAAUGAGGAUCAGAAUGAGAGAUUUUUACUAGUUCUUUUAAAAUAUUUCUCAGUUCUCUUCCUUGUAAUUAUUAUUAUUAUUAUCGUUAUUACUGCGAGCCUACAUCCUGUUUGCCAUUAGAAAAUAGCAGAGAGCUAUCUAUUGUCAUUUGGGAAGCAGGAGGUAGAUUCAAGUGUGUUUGGGAAUAAAGGAACAACCCAGCCAGCCACCUGUUUUCCCUGCUCAGGGAUAAUACAAAUAUAGAUCCUUUAGGCAGCCUCGUCUUUGGAAGUUUGAAAUGUAGAGGCUCCCCUGUUGAAGGGGCCCCUAUGUGUGUGUGUGUGUCUCCGGUGGAGGUGGGGGGGAAUGUCCGUGAAGUCAGCCUCUGAAGUCACAUAAUCUCACAGUACCAAGAACCCCUUGGAAUUUAAGAUUUUUAGAACCUAGUCACAUGUUUUGGUCUUCAAGAUUAUUAUUGUCUCCAUGAUUGCUCUAUUUUGCAAUUCUCUACCACAUCCACACCCCUAUUAGCCCUUUCCAGUUGCAACCAAAAUUUUGUACUACUUCUUACCAUUUUAGGGACAGAUCUAGGUUUGUGGGGCCUGAAAUUUACAAUUUGGGGGGCCCUCUUUAAGAAAAAGAUAUUAAAAUUGUAUAGGCAAUGCAGGCAAUUAGGUGCCAAUGUUAAUAUUUAUAAUGAGAAAAUAAAUCAUGGAGUUCCUGUCGUGGUGCAGAGGAAACGAAUCCGACUAGGAACAGUGAGGUUGGGGGUUAGAUCCUUGACCUCACUCAGUGGGUUAAGGAUCUGGCUUUGUCGUAAGCUGUGGUGUAGGUCGCAGACGAGGCUCAGAUGUGGCAUUGCUGUGGCUGCAGCGUAGGCCGGCAGCUGUAGCUCCCAUUGGACCCCUAGCCUGAGAACCUUCAUAUGGCACAC